Molecule: transfer RNA, 73 nt
Filed under: Ornithorhynchus anatinus (platypus)
Lineage: Eukaryota; Metazoa; Chordata; Mammalia; Monotremata; Ornithorhynchidae
Rfam family: tRNA
About the family: Transfer RNA (tRNA) molecules are approximately 80 nucleotides in length.
Source: Rfam by way of RNAcentral
AGCAGCAUGGCCUAGCGGAUAGAGCAUGGGCCCAGGAGUUAGAAAAACCUGGGUUCAAAUCCCAGUACUGCUG